RNAcentral lists this unclassified non-coding RNA (345 nucleotides) under soil metagenome. Its description in RNAcentral is "partial contains 5.8S ribosomal RNA, internal transcribed spacer 2, and large subunit ribosomal RNA". The stretch from base 1 to 120 matches the Rfam family "5.8S ribosomal RNA", at positions 35 to 154 of the family's 154-position model. The record is from RNAcentral.
GAUGAAGAACGUAGUGAAAUGCGAUAAGUAAUGUGAAUUGCAGAACUCAGUGAAUCAUCGAAUCUUUGAACGCACAUUGCGCCCCCUGGCCUUCCGGGGGGCAUGCCUGUCCGAGCGUCAUUGCUGCCCUCAAGCACGGCUUGUGUGUUGGGCCUCCGUCCUCCUCCCGGGGGACGGGCCCGAAAGGCAGCGGCGGCACCGCGUCCGGUCCUCGAGCGUAUGGGGCUUCGUCACCCGCUCUUGUAGGCCCGGCCGGCGCUUGCCGACACAUCAAUCUUUUUUCCAGGUUGACCUCGGAUCAGGUAGGGAUACCCGCUGAACUUAAGCAUAUCAAUAAGCGGAGGA